GAGAUAAGAAUAAAAGCGCUUACAUGAAAAGGAGAUGUUUUAAGAUGGGAGAAAUCAUUUGCCAAACAUGUGACAACACUAUUGAACAUUUUGAAGAUGAAAAAGUAACGAAGUUAUAUUCCAAUAAAUGCCCGAACUGCUCAAGCACAAACGAAAAAAAAUAGGGAAGAUAAAGGACCCGGCAUACUAAAAGCCGGGUCCUUUGAU
RNAcentral lists this small RNA (207 nucleotides) under Fictibacillus enclensis. Its description in RNAcentral is "Bacillus sp. NIOC03 SR1 sRNA". It matches the Rfam family "SR1 sRNA". Lineage: Bacteria; Bacillati; Bacillota; Bacilli; Caryophanales; Fictibacillaceae. The record is from Rfam by way of RNAcentral.